CACUUGUCAGUUCAGACUUCACAUUAAUAACACGCAUCAUGCACGCAGUGUUUGUAUUCUCUUUGCUUAUUGUUUGUUUAUUUUGCAGUGUUAAAAUGGCAACUGGACGAAGUUUAUCUGAAAAGCCACAAUACAAAUUAGAAGAUGCGCCGCAAUUAUUUGAGAAGUUUAUCAAAGAUUACGACAGAAAGUACGCGAAUGACGAAGACAGAAAGAUUCACUACGACGCAUUUGUGAGAAGAUUAGAGAAAAUAAACAAAGCGAACGCUUCCAAUACAGCGACCUUUGACAUUAAUAAAUUCGCCGAUUACACACCGGAGGAUAGUAAACAUUUGUUUGGAUUUAAGAAACGUACAUGAAUCAUAAUAUCGUGGUUGAUGAUGACAUUUUUUAACACAAUAUAAUAAUAUAAUCGACGACCCAUAUAGCCGAAUGGUUAGUGACCCUGACUUCUAAGCUAGAGGUCCCGGGUUCGAAUCCCGGUAGGUGCAAUCAUUUAUAUGAUGAAUAUGGAUGUUUGUUUCUGAGUCAUGGAUGUUUAUAUGUAUUUAUGUAUAUUUAAGUAAGCAUAUUGUAUUAAAUAUAUCGUUGUCUUGUACCCAUAGUACAGGCUAUGCCUAGUUUGCGGCAAGAUAAUUUGUGUAAAAGUGUGUCAAUAUUAUAUAUUAUUAUUAUAAUCCAUGAAUACUUAUUUUAAAUCUGAAUUUAAAACAGUCUGUACACCUGAAAGUUAUGUCAAUGUAAAUUAUAAAGAUAAUUAAUUAA
Molecule: long non-coding RNA, 765 nt
Organism: Leptidea sinapis
Lineage: Eukaryota; Metazoa; Arthropoda; Insecta; Lepidoptera; Pieridae
Exons: 2
Source: RefSeq, a predicted model, not a curated record